UCCCUGGUGGUCCAGCGGUUAAGACUCUACACUUUCAACGCAGGGGGCACUGGUUCAAUCCCUGGUCAGGGAA
Molecule: transfer RNA, 73 nt
Filed under: Ovis aries (sheep)
Lineage: Eukaryota; Metazoa; Chordata; Mammalia; Artiodactyla; Bovidae
Rfam family: tRNA
About the family: Transfer RNA (tRNA) molecules are approximately 80 nucleotides in length. Their secondary structure includes four short double-helical elements and three loops (D, anti-codon, and T loops). Further hydrogen bonds mediate the characteristic L-shaped molecular structure. tRNAs have two regions of fundamental functional importance: the anti-codon, which is responsible for specific mRNA codon recognition, and the 3' end, to which the tRNAs corresponding amino acid is attached (by aminoacyl-tRNA synthetases). tRNAs cope with the degeneracy of the genetic code in two manners: having more than one tRNA (with a specific anti-codon) for a particular amino acid; and 'wobble' base-pairing, i.e. permitting non-standard base-pairing at the 3rd anti-codon position.
Source: Rfam by way of RNAcentral